GCCGGGGUGGCAGAACGGUAAUGCACUCGUCUCGAAAACGAGCGUCCUUUGGACUCACAGGUUCGAAUCCUGUCCCCGGCG
This 81-nucleotide transfer RNA is filed under the name archaeon. RNAcentral's name for it is "tRNA-Ser". It matches the Rfam family "tRNA". Rfam says of the family: Transfer RNA (tRNA) molecules are approximately 80 nucleotides in length. Their secondary structure includes four short double-helical elements and three loops (D, anti-codon, and T loops). The record is from RNAcentral. RNAcentral also lists the same sequence under 1 other name.